GUGCCAGCCGCCGCGGUAAUACGUAGGGGGCAAGCGUUGUCCGGAAUUAUUGGGCGUAAAGCGCGCGCAGGCGGCUAUUUAAGUCUGGUGUUUAAACCUUGGGCUCAACCUGAGGUCGCACUGGAAACUGGGUGGCUUGAGUACAGAAGAGGAAAGUGGAAUUCCACGUGUAGCGGUGAAAUGCGUAGAUAUGUGGAGGAACACCAGUGGCGAAGGCGACUUUCUGGGCUGUAACUGACGCUGAGGCGCGAAAGCGUGGGGAGCAAACAGGAUUAGAAACCCUUGUAGUCC
RNAcentral lists this ribosomal RNA (291 nucleotides) under uncultured bacterium. RNAcentral's name for it is "partial 16S ribosomal RNA". It matches the Rfam family "Bacterial small subunit ribosomal RNA", at positions 505 to 796 of the family's 1533-position model. The record is from RNAcentral.